GAGAGAUGGCCGAGUGGUCGAAGGCGGCGGUUUGCUAAACCGUUAAACGGUUAACACCGUUUCGAGGGUUCGAAUCCCUCUCUCUCC
RNAcentral lists this transfer RNA (87 nucleotides) under marine eukaryotic metagenome. It matches the Rfam family "tRNA". Rfam says of the family: Transfer RNA (tRNA) molecules are approximately 80 nucleotides in length. Their secondary structure includes four short double-helical elements and three loops (D, anti-codon, and T loops). The record is from RNAcentral.